Molecule: transfer RNA, 89 nt
Filed under: Halobacteriales archaeon
Lineage: Archaea; Methanobacteriati; Methanobacteriota; Halobacteria; Halobacteriales
Also listed under: 2 other names
Description: tRNA-Ser
Rfam family: tRNA
About the family: Transfer RNA (tRNA) molecules are approximately 80 nucleotides in length. Their secondary structure includes four short double-helical elements and three loops (D, anti-codon, and T loops).
Source: RNAcentral
GGUGAGGUGGCAGAGUCUGGCCUAUUGCGCCGGCCUUGAAAGCCGGUGGGGUGUCACAGCCCCCAGGGGUUCAAAUCCUCUCCUCACCG